This 424-nucleotide ribosomal RNA is filed under the name Campylobacter coli. Its description in RNAcentral is "partial 23S ribosomal RNA". It matches the Rfam family "Bacterial large subunit ribosomal RNA", at positions 1 to 444 of the family's 2925-position model. Lineage: Bacteria; Pseudomonadati; Campylobacterota; Epsilonproteobacteria; Campylobacterales; Campylobacteraceae. The record is from RNAcentral.
AAAGGUAAGCUACUAAGAGCGAAUGGUGGAUGCCUUGACUGGUAAAGGCGAUGAAGGACGUACUAGACUGCGAUAAGCUACGGGGAGCUGUCAAGAAGCUUUGAUCCGUAGAUUUCCGAAUGGGGCAACCCAAUGUAUAGAGAUAUACAUUACCUAUAUAGGAGCGAACGAGGGGAAUUGAAACAUCUUAGUACCCUCAGGAAAAGAAAUCAAUAGAGAUUGCGUCAGUAGCGGCGAGCGAAAGCGUAAGAGGGCAAACCCAGUGCUUGCACUGGGGGUUGUAGGACUGCAAUGUGCAAGAGCUGAGUUUAGCAGAACAUUCUGGAAAGUAUAGCCAUAGAGGGUGAUAGUCCCGUAUGCGAAAAACAAAGCUUAGCUAGCAGUAUCCUGAGUAGGGCGGGACACGAGGAAUCCUGUCUGAAUC